Molecule: ribosomal RNA, 490 nt
Filed under: uncultured bacterium
Lineage: Bacteria
Description: partial 16S ribosomal RNA
Rfam family: Bacterial small subunit ribosomal RNA
Source: RNAcentral
AGUGAACGCUGGCGGCAGGCCUAACACAUGCAAGUCGAACGGCAGCACAAGAGAGCUUGCUCUCUGGGUGGCGAGUGGCGGACGGGUGAGGAAUGCAUCGGAAUCUGCCCAUUUGUGGGGGAUAACCUCGGGAAACCGGGACUAAUACCGCAUACGACCUACGGGUGAAAGCAGGGGAUCUUCGGACCUUGCGCAGAUGGAUGAGCCGCUGCCGGAUUAGCUAGUUGGAGGGGUAAAGGCCCACCAAGGCGACGAUCCGUAGCUGGUCUGAGAGGGUGAUCAGCCACACUGGGAGUGAGACACGGCCCAGACUCCUACGGGAGGCAGAAGUGGGGAAUAUUGGACAAUGGGCGCAAGCCUGAUCCAGCCAUGCCGCGUGUGUGAAGAAGGCCUUCGGGUUGUAAAGCACUUUUGUUGGGAAAGAAAAGCAGCCGGUUAAUACCCGGUUGUCAUGACGGUACCCAAAGAAUAAGCACCGGCUAACUUCGUG